Molecule: long non-coding RNA, 412 nt
Filed under: Nicotiana benthamiana
Lineage: Eukaryota; Viridiplantae; Streptophyta; Magnoliopsida; Solanales; Solanaceae
Description: long non-coding RNA (NBEN_LNC010847)
Source: RNAcentral
UUGUUUAAGUUUCUGUAAUUACCUUGCUCCGAAUAUAUUCUCAAUGAGUUCUUAGCCUAACUUAUACCACCUCCAUGUGAUUAUAUUCAUCUUGAUUGCUCAAGACUUCCCUCUUUCUAUUGAUAUUGUUGAACCUGUAUGUCUGCUAUGUCUAGUUGCUCUUACUCUAUUUAAAUAUUGACCAUUGAAUCAUGAGUUCCUCUUGAUUGAUUCAGGAUUCCUUAUUUUAUGGUUUGAUUGAAAGAUCUUCCUUUAAACCUUAAAUUCUACCUCGUCAAGUUAAAUUAACUGAUUCACCAACCUUGUUCGCUGUGACAAUUUAUUCUUACUGAACUAUUUCCUUAAUAUGAGUUUUCUAAACUUAGCCCUAAUUGUUUACCUUGUACUUACUGAAUUUAAAUCUUUCUUUAUU